GAGGGUAUAGUUCAGUGGUAGAGUGCAUAUCUAGCAAGCAGGAGGUCCUGGAUUCAAUCCCCAGUACCUUCA
Molecule: transfer RNA, 72 nt
Filed under: Camelus bactrianus (Bactrian camel)
Lineage: Eukaryota; Metazoa; Chordata; Mammalia; Artiodactyla; Camelidae
Also listed under: 2 other names
Rfam family: tRNA
About the family: Transfer RNA (tRNA) molecules are approximately 80 nucleotides in length. Their secondary structure includes four short double-helical elements and three loops (D, anti-codon, and T loops).
Source: Rfam by way of RNAcentral